This 23-nucleotide non-coding RNA is filed under the name Arabidopsis thaliana (thale cress). Lineage: Eukaryota; Viridiplantae; Streptophyta; Magnoliopsida; Brassicales; Brassicaceae. The record is from RNAcentral.
GAGAUGCUUGCCGCACAAGCCGU